CAGAGAGAGGGAAACAGGUCAGGGAGAGAGAGACAGAGAGAGGGAAACAGGUCAGGGAGAGAGAGACAGAGAGAGGGAAACAGGUCAGGGAGAGAGAGACAGAGAGAGGGAAACAGGUCAGGGAGAGAGAGACAGAGAGAGGGAAACAGGUCAGGGAGAGAGAGACAGAGAGAGGGAAACAGGUCAGGGAGAGAGAGACAGAGAGAGGGAAACAGGUCAGGGAGAGAGAGACAGAGAGAGGGAAACAGGUCAGGGAGAGAGAGACAGAGAGAGGGAAACAGGUCAGGGAGAGAGAGACAGAGAGAGGGAAACAGGUCAGGGAGAGAGAGACAGAGAGAGGGAAACAGGUCAGGGAGAGAGAGACAGAGAGAGGGAAACAGGU
Molecule: long non-coding RNA, 382 nt
Organism: Oncorhynchus keta (chum salmon)
Lineage: Eukaryota; Metazoa; Chordata; Actinopteri; Salmoniformes; Salmonidae
Exons: 3
Source: RefSeq, a predicted model, not a curated record